Molecule: long non-coding RNA, 1550 nt
Filed under: Malus domestica (apple)
Lineage: Eukaryota; Viridiplantae; Streptophyta; Magnoliopsida; Rosales; Rosaceae
Description: long non-coding RNA (MDOM_LNC019270)
Source: RNAcentral
GGCUUGGAUUGUCCUAAAACAUAACCAUUCAAAAGUUCAUGAAUAGUGUUCAACUCGGAGCUUGAGUUUUCAACGUGAAAUCGAACAAGUUCUUACCUGAAAUGUUUACCUUUGAACUCGUAGGGUCCUCACGAACACAAUGGUACCAUUUUCUUCCUCAAUCUAUGAAGAUUUGGCUCAGUUUCAAGGUGGUCCGUACGGAGGAGAGUGAAGAGAGGGUCUGGGAGAUGAGAGAGAGAGCACGGGAAAGAGAGAGAAGGGUAUGGAUUUGUGUGGUCCAAAAAUGCACACCAAUCCCAACUCUUUAAUCUUUUAGUUCUAAUUGUGUCCAAUUAGUUAGGGAUAGAACUAAUUGACUCAAUUUGACUCAAUUCUUUAAUUCCACAUAAACACACAUCCGACACUCAAGGGUAAAUUUGUCUUUUCACAACCACGAUGAUAAAAUAAAGUACAUUUCUGGAACGGGCUGUGACAGUUAAGGGGAGAUAAGAACGUCGUGAAUUUACAUGGACGUUAUGUUGUGUUCCUUUCAAGUGCAAAAAUAAGGAUAGUAUAAUUGCACAAGUAAGGGUGUCGAACCACAGAGACUGAUUAGACCUUUACAAAUUACUAGCUUUAUGUGAAUCUUAACUAAACAAUGAAACUAACAAAUUAAGUUUUGAUUUCGAUUUGAGAAGUAAAGUGACUUAAAAUGCAAGAGAAUGUAAAUAUGAACAAUAGAAUGAUUCAGAAACAAUGGGAAUGGAACUAGGGAUAUCGAUUUCACCAUUACAAGUCAAUUCCAUGAAAAUUAAGUCAAAAUGCAUUCAACUCUCCAAUCUGCAACUAGGGUUCAUUUUACUUAUCUAUGAUCAUCCAUUUGAUGUGCGGUUCUGAUCAAGUACUCCUAAUCUACAAUCUAGUUGUGAUGUUCAACUUAGAUUAGCAAGUAAGAAUCCAUUAAGAACAAGAAAACUUCAAAGAACCCAAGAAAUCACAUGGCAGGAUGUAUGCAUAGCAGUUUCUUCAUUCAUUCACAUGUCUACCAAGAUUAAGCAUGAUGUGUACUAUAAUCUUGAUCAAAUAAUCUGUAAGAAACCCUAAUGGUGAUCAAACAUUAAGAUAAACAAACAAAUUAAACUAUAAAAUUAGUGAAUGAAACAAGAAAACAGAUUGACGAAUUGAAUGCAUUAACUUAAUAACAUAGAAUAGUUUUGCAAGGCUACAUCGAAAUCCCCAGCUAUGAACUUAAUUACACAACAUGAUUACAUAAUAUAUAAAUAUCAAGAACAACAUAAGUGAAAUUAAAUUCAUAGAAGAAACCCCCUUGAAGUAAUUCUGAUGUUGAACUUCUCCAAGAACAGCGCGGCUGCGUGGUUUCUUCGAUGGCAGCAUAUGGUGAACGGAAAUAGGGUUUUGUUUCUAGAAGAAAGGCCAAAGAAAGAGAAGAGAGAGAGCUCUGGGUGACCCCCAAGGGGGCUUGUGUAAAAUUGAUAUGACACCCUAGUAUUUAUAUGCUAAAUGGGGCUACAACUGAUUGCAAGGUGAUCCCAACCAUUAAGCCAAGGUUU